GUUCACUCCUAAUCUUAUCCUCUCUGAGGAUCCAGAAGUUAUAGCACUGAGGACCUUGACACUUUAUGGCUCUGUAUCAGGACCUCUGGGGACUGAGGACAGAGAUGGGACAGCUCCUCUCAUCCUCCAGCUGCUGCCCACUCCUUCCUUGGAAGCCCUGUCCGGAGGCUCUUGUCCAUCUCUGGCCUUGUCCUGCUCCUCCCCCCAGGAGCCUUCUCUGAGUCUCCACACCUGCCCGGCCUCCCUUCUCCCUCAUGGCCCCUGGUGGCUCUCACUCCUUUCUGUCCUUUCUCAUCUGCAGGGAGCCUCAGAGGAGCACGUUUUCCCUCUUGGUGACGGAGCUGCCACCACUCCCCAGUGACAACCCUAGGAGUCCCUGGGGUCUCUCUCACCCACCACACCCCAUGACCCGAGUCUUGCGAAUGUCCCUUCCUGAACGUGACUCACUUCCUCUGCCAACAUCCCCGUGGCCUCUACUCCUGGUCGGUUGUAUUCACUUCCUCUUCUCAGCUUCACGCUGAUCUCCUCCGCAGCCCCGACUCCCCUCUCUCCCACAUGGGUCUUUCAUAUCGUCCACUCGGGGUUCUUUAAGAAGGGCCCCAUCCCUCCCUUGCUCUCACCCUAUGCAAGUCUUUAGCUGACACUUGAGCCCUGCUCAGCCUAGUUCCCUCAUCGUCCUUCAGUGUCACCGUGCCUGGGUACCUCUGCGGUCAUUACUAAAUUCUCUGCCUUGUAUGACCCAUUUGUAAACACUGUCAUGUGCAGCCUGGCUCUGGAGGGGACAAACCCUUAACAGCCCCUCUCCUUUAUCUGCAUCCACUCCUCACUGUCCGUUCCCAGGGCCAGUCUUUGCCCAAUAUUUGAUGCUGGAUGAAGGAAUUUUUAUGUAGUUUCCUUAGCAAGGAUGGUGCUUGAUAUAUCCUCCCGAUAAGUAAGUGCUUUUGAAAUCUAGAAAAAUGAUGCUACUGUUUACAGAAACUUCUCAUCUGAGAUCUUUGUUCUGACCCCAGCAUUUUCCUGUCUGCCUUUCUGUCUUUAGUGUCAGUUUCAGUGCCCCUGUCCUGCCAGAUGGUGAGUGUAUAACAGGGAUCAGGUAUUUGGUGGCUCUCAGGGUGACUUGGUUAGUUUUACUGGUAGAACAAGCUCAGAGAAACUUCUGGCUCAGUGAAAUCCCCCAGGAAGCAAAGCAGACCAGCUGGAGAACCUAGUGGUUUCUGGGAAGCAGGAUGAGCCUGCUCCUUGUCCUGGGGAGACAUUGUCUCAUCCCCAGGGGUGCUCCCUGCAGGCACAUCCUGAGAACGUGGGUAGACAAGUCAGUGCCUUGGGUUUUGGGGGUGCCACCAAGACGAGCACAACACAGAGACUCCAGGGGGACCGCCCUCCGCAGCAGGUUGCCCCCCUCUUCUUAAAGGUGUGGGCGAGCUCAGAGGUCUUCCUUUCCCAGGAAGGACUCAAGACUGUCACGAUGAUCAACGUGUUAGCACCUAAAUCUGGAGCAUUUAGCCGUUUCCCAGAGGAGAACAUAGUAAGGGGGAACCCAUCACUCAGACCCACAGCUCUGAUUUCUCUCCUCUUUCUUUGAGGAGGUUCAGAAAGGAGGUGACGGGAAGGCAGUGACACUGGAGGAAAGUCAGUCCUCUUUGGCACAAAUCCAUUGUCCUAAGCUUUAACAGAAACCAGCUUUGGUUACUUUCCCCAGCUCUUCCCUGGGCCUCUGGGGACGUGGGCUCCAGGAAGGUGGCGUGCUGGUGUCCUCUUUGCUCAGGUGGGAGAUGGGCUGAUGGAUGCUGUUGAGGAGAAAAUGAUGGGGGGGAGGGGUACUGACAAGGUCUAAUGGAGGUUUGAGGGGCGCUGAUAUUUGUUCUAGAAAGUCCUCCCGUUGCCAAGUGAGAAAGACCUGGAAAAUGACAUGCAGAAGUCAUGAGGUCAUCGCACGUUACUAAGGAGUUGGUGGAGACCAUGAAUUCCCAGCCUCACUGAGAGGUCAGUCAUGUGCAGCACGCUUCUUCAAAACCAGGAGGACACGUGGAAAGCUGGAUAAUUACCAAGAAAGAGAAAAUAGAAGACACAGACCACAUCUCCAGAGGCUCCAGACGACGGAGAGAAGAAAUGCCCAGACUCCGAAGACAUAAGUGCACCAGGAUGAGCAGGGCUGCUGGCUCUGGGGAGCAGGACCGGCUCUGAUGGUGUCAUAGACUGUACCUGUAGGAGGGCUGUCACAGAGCACAACCGACACUCAGGAAAGGGGGAAGCCAUCUGGUCUCUCCUGGAUCCCCUGAAACUGUUGAAUUAGCAUAAACUGCACCAGCAAAGUCUGGUGAGAAGCACCUUUUAAAGAACCCUGCUGGAAGACAGUCCUAAGGAAGAGUGACCCCACUUCUUGGUAUUAUGAUGAUCAAUCUCUGGAAUAGAUGGCCCCCUCACCCAUGAGCCCUUGUCACUCAGUUGUCCCCCUCUGUGCCCAUGGCCCAUCUCCCUGAAUCCUUCUCUCUUCAGGUUUGGGAUUUUCAAUCUUAG
RNAcentral lists this long non-coding RNA (2517 nucleotides) under Marmota monax (woodchuck). The record is from RNAcentral. Lineage: Eukaryota; Metazoa; Chordata; Mammalia; Rodentia; Sciuridae.